Molecule: RNase P RNA, 332 nt
Filed under: Cardiobacteriaceae bacterium
Lineage: Bacteria; Pseudomonadati; Pseudomonadota; Gammaproteobacteria; Cardiobacteriales; Cardiobacteriaceae
Description: RNase P RNA component class A
Rfam family: Bacterial RNase P class A
About the family: Ribonuclease P (RNase P) is a ubiquitous endoribonuclease, found in archaea, bacteria and eukarya as well as chloroplasts and mitochondria.
Source: RNAcentral
CGAGUUUGCUGGGCAAUCGCGCCGUAUGGCGAGGAAAGUCCGGGCUUCAUAGGGUAAAAGGCUGGGUAACGCCCAGGCGGCGCGAGCCGACGGAAAGUGCCACAGAAAAUAUACCGCCGUUAUCACGGUAAGGGUGAAAUGGUGCGGUAAGAGCGCACCGCGUUUUUGGCGACAAAAACGGCAGGGAAAACCCCCUUCGAAGCAAGUUCAAAUAGGAAAUCAAUGCGGCGACCCGUCGCGAUUUCGGGUAGAACGCUAGAAAUUGGCAGUAAUGCUAAUUCCAGAUGAAUGAUUGCCCUCGACAGAACCCGGCUUAUAGGCGAACUCAUCUG